UCGCCAAGAGAGCCUGGCGAACGUAGCAGAAUAUGGUUUGAAGAUGAUGUUCAUCAUGUUCUAACUGAAAACACAGGAACAAACAAGGUUAAAGGUAUCAUCGUCAAGUUGGCCGAACCCCAUGAGAUACACUUGAAUGCUAAAAGCUUCUCAAAUAUGAAAAAUCUUCAAAUUUUUAUAAAUUGCAAUGCAUCCUUUACUGGAGAAGUCGAGUAUCUUCCAAACGAGUUGAGGUUCCUUGAUUGGCCAAAAUGUCCAUUGCCAUCUCUGCCAGACAACUUUAAUCCCAGGAAACUUAUUAAACUGAACAUGCCUUGCAGCUACAUGUUACAACUCGGACAGGGACUUAAGAACUUACAAAAUUUGAAAACUAUGAAUCUGGAAGGCUCUAAAUUCCUAACAAAAGUGGUCAAUUUUUCGGG
Argentina anserina (silverweed cinquefoil) is the source of this 422-nucleotide long non-coding RNA. RefSeq lists it as uncharacterized. The transcript has 3 exons. The record is from RefSeq and is a predicted model, not a curated record. NCBI's taxonomy places the organism in Eukaryota, Viridiplantae, Streptophyta, Magnoliopsida, Rosales, Rosaceae.